GUGGUUAUGCGUAGGUGCUAAUGUUAUCUUGGUAAAUGUUUGGUGGUUCACCUGCUUCUUGACUCUCAGUGUCUCCGUUACAGAAUACUGACUCCAACAAUGGAGGCAGCAGGAAAACAAAAUAUCUCCCAGAUGGUUGACGAGCCCCUGCUCGUCAACAUCAUGACAAGCUGACACAACUGGGGAUGGCUAUGGAAGAGGUUCAUUACGGCACCCCAUCUAAAUGCCGUGGCUACCUACAUCAGUGCUCCCUCUACUUCACGCAACAGAUGGGAGCCCCCACCACCGAGAGGAUCAAGGUUCCCACGGUUAUUUCUCUGCUGAUUGGGCGGGUGUUGGAAUGGGAGAGGAGGAGCUAGAAUCAUAUGAGGAGUUCAUGGCUCUGUUCAAAUGCAUCUUUGAUCACCCAGAGAGGGGGGUGAGCGCCUCCUCCAAUUACGUCAGGGGGACCAUAUGGCUGCUGAGUACGCACUCACCUUCCGGACAGUAGCAGCAUCCAGCGGAUAGUAAGUUGCUGGACUUCCAGGUAUUUCUCGCACUACCCAAUCCGUCUCUGAAAUGUACUGUGGCGCAGGAUGUCACUCGAUACGCCAAAUCUUGUUCUGCAUGUGCCCAAACCAAAUUCCUCUGGAACGCUCCAGCAGGGAAACUCCUUCCCAUGCCUCAGCAUCCCUGGUGCCAUCUUUCUAUUGUCUUUGUUACUGAUUUCCCCUCUGAUGGUUUCACCACCAUUUUGGUGGUUGUGGAUAGAUAUUUAAAAUCCAGUUUUAAUCCCUCUUUCUGGUCUCCCUACUGCUCUCUAGAUCGCUGAAGCACUAUUCCAGCAGGUCUUCUGGCUUUCUGAAGGACAUUGUCUCUGACCGUGGCCACCAAUUCACGUCAUGGGUAUUGAGAGCCUUUAUGGAAAAGCUGGGGGUCACGGUCAUCCUCACUUCCGGGUAUAGGCCUCAGUCCAAUGGGCAGGUGGUGAGGAUGGACGAGGAGCUGGGGCGGUUCCUGAGGAGUCACCGGCAGGGAGAGUGGGCUCGACUCCUUUCAUUGGCUACGUCACUCCUCCACUGGGUUGAGCCCCCCUUCCAGUGUUUUCAGCCGGCCCUGGAUCCAUGGCCCCCUGACCAGACCAACGCUCCUGCUGCAGAUGGUUCAGGCACGCAGAAGUGUGGCGCGACGCUCACGUGAGACUCCAGCGUGCCGUCCACCAUUAAAAGGAGGACCGCAGUGCAACCCUGUGUACCACCCUGGGGAUCGUGUCUGGCUCUCUAGCAGGAACCUCCCACUCUGCCUGCCCUGCAAGAAGCAGCCCCCGGGCCAAUGGUUCCUGGUCCGUUAGCUGAUGCUGUCCCCCAUAGCACCCCUCCGCACCCUCUGGACAUCAGGGGGUCCAGCCUAUGCCAUCAGAUCUCUACUGGACCCCUGACGUCAUGGGGGUCGGCUCCAAUACCUGGUGGACUGGUACGGGUAUGGCCCAGAGGAGCGGUGUUGGGUUCUGUUGGAGGACAUUCUGGAUCCCAACAUCUGUGAUUUCCACCUUUACCGACCGUCCCUCUGGUCAGCGUUGUCCUGCGGCUGGACCCGUGCGUCGGGGAGGUGUACUGUCAUGUCUACUCCCACUCCUCCCCUCCAGCGUUCGACGUCGCCAGUAUGCUAACCACCGGUCCUGGGAUCAAUCAUCACACACACCUGCACGUCUUGAGGCACACCUCGACUCCAUUACCUCACUUACCUCCCCUUUAUCUGGCACUCCAUUAGGUUCUUUCCCCAGUCAGUAUCGUUCCUGUGUUUAUGCUACUGUUAUGUUUCGUUCCAUGUUUUAUUCAACGUUUGACCUGCACCUCGACUCUCAGCGUCUCGGUUACACUACAACCCAGUAAGCACGAGCUGAUGUCUGGUCUGGACCAAAAGAAGGACAUCUUUUUUUUGUUUUACAAACGGUAGGCUUACCACAUAGAUGGGCAUUCUCAAACAUUUUUUGGUGCAGUUCGGACUGGCCUUGCUUUCCACAUCCACUGCCAUUGGUUCAGAUUUUGUCCGGACCAAAAACCAAUCAUAGACAUCUGUUUGCUUCAAGUUUUGUACGGUCUAGACCAGCCUUGAUUUGGCCCAAACAGAUAACUAGAACCAAAAAAUUGCCUGAUUUCAACAUCUGGAAAAUAUGUGUUUUAGACAUCUUUUCAUUGUCAUUUUGCUUACUGAAAAUUUUCUAGUUUCUGGAAUCUCCUAGGGUGGCAGAACGGCAAGGACCGCCCCUGGUCUGAUUAUCAUAAACUGAACUCUAUUUUGCACCUGAUCCUGCUGCCUUCUGAUACUACAGUCCCUACGACAGAUUAAUGUUUUAUCAGUCUGAGAACCCCAUAGCAUUAAAAUACUGAGGGAGUGGUCUCAGUCUCAUACA
Long non-coding RNA from Oncorhynchus keta (chum salmon), 2392 nucleotides. RefSeq lists it as uncharacterized. Lineage: Eukaryota; Metazoa; Chordata; Actinopteri; Salmoniformes; Salmonidae. The transcript is spliced from 2 exons. The record is from RefSeq and is a predicted model, not a curated record.